UCAACCUUCGUAACUGAAAUACAAAAAUGCCAACAACUAAACUACAUUGCUGCUACAACCAAAGAAUGUGCAUAAUAGAGCUGCAGCUUUCCACUCUUCUCCAGCAUUUGAGGGAAACUGUUAUUUCUCCCACCAAUAACAUUGAUUAGAGGACUCCAACCUCUUAGUCUGCCUAGAACAGGCUGAAAACAUGGUUGUUUGCACAGACCAAGAAGUCCUGGAUUUAUAAUAUGAAGUAUGAGCUUGCUUGAACAUUUCCCACCUAUUGCAAUCUGCCUUUGUCGAGUUUAGCAAAAAGGCACGUGAGUUUUUCUAUGCUUAUUCCAAGUUGUCCACGCUGUUUUACUCAAGGAUAAUUGCUAGCCCCUAGGACCAAAGACUGAUGCAGACAAGCAACACCUGUAACAGUAGAAUGUGACUGAGUCGUACUUUAGAGAGUGGAACAAUGGGCACUGCCCCCUCUUUCCUUAAUUAUGUGGCAUCAUCUUUUCUGGGGAGCCAAUUCUCCAAACGGAUAUGCCUGGAACCUAUGCUUUGCUUCUUUCAGAGCCAGGCAAACUCCUUUUUAUUUCCCCAAUAUUUUAAUACUUAGAUUUUUAUCUUCAUUUUUAUUAUAGUUUUACUUUACCUUUAAGAUGUUUUUACCUGUGGUGGUGGAGGGUAGAUUAUUGUAUUCAUUAAUUGUAUUGCUAUGAUUUUAUCAUGCAUUUUAUAUUAAUUAUUGUAUUUUUAAUUUCUAAAGUGUCCAGGGAGUCUUUGGGCUGAUGGGUGGCAUAGAAAUGUAAUAUACAGGGUGACCAACGGGAGUCGGACAGUUUUGAAAAAAACAGUACUCUGUAGAUUUUCAACUCGAAAUGGAUUUAUUUUUACAAAAACAGAGGGCAAGACAUGCCAUUUGAGUUACUUAUUCUUUUAUUUAUGAAAAAUAAUGUCAUUUAGAUGAUGACCAUCCUCUUGAAAGCAGCUUUCAAUCCAUCGCUUGAAAUAGCUGCUGCGUUGUUGUGAUAGACUCACCACUUUGAACAAAGCUGUCAUAAGCAAACAAAUGAUGUUGUAAUGCCCACUGCUCCACUGGGACGGAAUUAGCAUUCAAGAGGGGGGGGGGGGAGCCUAGCUUGUCCCCCUCCCAUUACCACUUACAGUGUACUACCUGUUCUAAAAACGUCCAACUCCCGUCGGUCACCCUGUGUAAAUAAAUAAGUUGUGCACUGCUGUUUGCAAGCCUGUAAUGCACAUGCAUCUUCCUUCUCACCUUCAUCUGAAUCAGAGCAGUGUGAAUUGAUCAUCACACUUACCUUCAAGAAACUGAUAUUGUAAUUGGGUCCCACAUAGGUGAUCUCCAAAUUGCCAAGCACCACCUCACAGUCUUCAUACAUUCUUCUUAGGAGGUUAUAGUGUUCAUCCACACCUGAGAGCUGCGUGAGCUUGUUGCUGGCUCCUUGGCAAACUGCAGAGGAGAGAAUUAGAACAAGUAGUACAGUAGUCAUACAGGCAACCUUGCAGGAAAAAAUGAAAGAGUUGCAGGUUUGAUCCAGGAAGUGCCUUCUGUUGAUAGAAAGUUUUUGAUCAUGGAAGCUACCGCUGGUCAAUUUUUGGAGAUUCAUCCUCCUUGCUACACCCUCAGUCCAUUCAGUAGGCUUCUCCAUCCCUCUGUGCAGCAUUUCCAGGGGGCUGGAAGGAUUGCAGUGGGAAACUUUAUGUGUGUGCGAGAAAACUCCAAAAACUGAAGUGUGUGUGCAACUGGGCUUCUGCAAAAGAUUGCAGGAUGCCACUCUUUAUGUAUUAAGAGAAGAGACAGAAUUUAAAUAGGAUUGAUAUCAGUAUCAAUAUAUCUCCAACAGUGCUGGGAAUUAGGGUCACAGUUGGCACAGACUCCUGGGCCAUGCCAAGCUGGACUCUGAGAAUGAAGGGAGGAGGAGGAGGGGGCCUGAAAACAGGGGUAACCAGAUUUGGAGAAGAGAGAAGUGAAGGUAACUAUCACAAGGCCACUCUCCCCAAGCACUCCAGCAGGCUCUGAGAAUGACCAAGUUGUACUGCUUGUAUGGGAGAAAAGUUCUCUGAGAUACGUGAAACUGACACAGCUCUUGACCCCAUGACUUGGGAGAGAAGCGCUAGCCAGCUAGAAGAUUGACAUACAGGGAAAAGGCAUGCUUACUCCCAAAUGGGCCCUUUCAAAGGGAUUGGGCCCACGUAUACGCCCAUGGAAGGUUUCUGGAAGUUAUGGUUUAGACUGGGUUCAACAAACUGCUUCUGUGCAUGCUGAGAGAUACAUUCUGUGCUGAUUGAGUUUAUUGGGUAUACUCUGGUGAAUAAACAGCUUUUUGCAAAAA
Molecule: long non-coding RNA, 2330 nt
Organism: Varanus komodoensis (Komodo dragon)
Lineage: Eukaryota; Metazoa; Chordata; Lepidosauria; Squamata; Varanidae
Exons: 2
Source: RefSeq, a predicted model, not a curated record